Long non-coding RNA from Dermochelys coriacea (leatherback sea turtle), 1885 nucleotides. RefSeq lists it as uncharacterized. The record is from RefSeq and is a predicted model, not a curated record. The transcript is spliced from 3 exons. Lineage: Eukaryota; Metazoa; Chordata; Testudines; Dermochelyidae.
AUAGUCUGGGGGAGAUAGUACAGAUUCUUCAGAGAAGUACAGACCAUGGCUGGCUGAAGUUGUUCAAGUACAGCAGCUUUUGCCAAAAUUCUCAAAGCAGAGCUGGGCCUGUGACAAUGUUAACUGGGCUGAUGCUUUUACUAUCACAUUCCCUGGGGAAGAGAAAGAAAACCAGUGAACAAAAUACAGGCACACAGUAUUGUGUGUCCACUCAUCCAGUGAGUGAGUAGCCUGGGCCUGGAGCUCAAUUGUGGCUGCUGAGAAACCAUGACAGAAGUCUUCAAGUGCAUUUGAUCCCAAGGGAUAAGAAAACGAUUGGACUUCAAGUGGUUACUUGAAUUCUACAUAGAGUAUUUGGUCACCUGAAUAUAGUGACAGGACUAUUCCAGGGCAAAAAAAGGACCAUAAUAUGUGAGGAAUGUCCUGAUAACAAUCUGGACUAUGGCCAUACUGAUUAAGAAUAUUCAAGCUACUACUGGAAGGGAAAUCUUUAAACUAUAUGCUGAUUGAGCUUCCAAGUGCAUCAGAAGCUGCCCUAAAACUCUCAAAUAAUAAAAAAUGCUACUGCUGAAACAACAUGAUCUAGCAAUUCGAGCAAGGGACCGAGAGUAAGGAGACAAGUUCUAAACCCAACUCUCUGCCCUUGCUCAGUAUAUGGCAGUGGGCACAGCACUUCUCACUACCUGUUUCCCUGUCAGUACUUUGAGGAUAAUGAUGCCCUGUGAAGUAUUUUGAAAUCUUUAGUGAUCACUGCUAUAAGAGCACAUAGUAGUCUCACUAUAUUUCACUAAUGAGUAUCCACAUAUUGAUGGUAUAUAAUAAGAAUACUUCCUGCUUUCAGAGAGUAGUGCAAUACACUAUAUCUGCCGGAUGUAGCAAAAAUAUAUAUUGGACAAGCAAGCAUAGGUAAUAUGUAACUUUUAGUUCUGUGGUUAUCGCCAUUCUUUCAUGAUUCCUUCAUCCUGUCCCCUGUAGCCCACCACUGCAGCUCUCAUAAUCCAAUACAGUCUCCUUUUGAGGCUUCUGCUAAGCUGUGAACAGGCCAGCAGGUGAUUCUCUGAGUGCCACUCACCCAUCACAAGAGCUGCGUGCAAUACCCACAGAACAUCAAGUCUCCACAUACUCACCUUGGAUUUGAGGAGUUUAAGAACCUAUAAAAGCCCAGUCUACAUGGAAGGAGGUUAUUCACACCACAGGAGAGCUGGAAAACCUCCCUUCCCGCUGCCCAGCUUCUCUUUCCCUCCCUCCAACAUUUCCUUCUCUCCUGAGGUCCCCGGGGAAGGCGGAGAAGGAAGUUGCGGUGUGAAAGGACAGCUGUAGGGGAACUCGGACCUGAAUGGUUCCCACCCUUGCAGCCUGAAUGGCAGGAUUCUCCCAUGCUUCGCUGUAAACUUCCUCGCUAUCAGCUCUGCGAGUGAGCUGUAGUCCGAAGCCACUCAAGCACUGCGAUACAUUGUGCCUUUGCCAAUGAGCUGCUCUAAACUAGUGGUUUUUAAUAGUUUUUCAUUGUGGAAAAUAAUCUGCAACAUUAAGUAAAAUUAAUGUCCAGUAGAGUCUGUGGUAGAAAUGCUAAAUUUUGUAGCCCUUUUGAGAAAAGCAAAGCUAGCAAUUUACAAAAAAAAAAAAAAAUUCAAGGGUACAAGCAAGAUAAUUUCACUGCAUUAUAUCAAGAUCCAUCUAUCCAUUAGCUUCAAAUUAGGAACCACCUGCUCUUCAUAACUGUCUGUGUGUAUGAAUGAGGAAUGUGGAGUUUAAUUAAAUAGCACGUGUGGGUGGAAACGGCUUUUCAGCAGCCGUGAGGUUAUUAGUGGACGUCUAUAUUGAAGUUCUUCACAUUUCUGAAAGGCUAAUUACAAUGUAAAUUUAGUUUUUAAAUUAUUGCUUU